RNAcentral lists this RNase P RNA (229 nucleotides) under Gammaproteobacteria bacterium. RNAcentral describes it as "partial RNase P RNA component class A". It matches the Rfam family "Bacterial RNase P class A", at positions 133 to 367 of the family's 367-position model. Rfam says of the family: Ribonuclease P (RNase P) is a ubiquitous endoribonuclease, found in archaea, bacteria and eukarya as well as chloroplasts and mitochondria. Its best characterised activity is the generation of mature 5'-ends of tRNAs by cleaving the 5'-leader elements of precursor-tRNAs. The record is from RNAcentral. Lineage: Bacteria; Pseudomonadati; Pseudomonadota; Gammaproteobacteria.
CGCUUCGGCGCCGGUAAGGGUGAAAGGGUGCGGUAAGAGCGCACCGCGCGGGUGGCAACAUUCCGCGGCAUGGUAAACCCCACCUGGAGCAAGACCAAAUAGGGGAACAGGCUUUUGCCAGGCGCGGCCCGCGCGGGUUCCCGGGUAGGUUGCUCGAGGUCUGCGGCGACGCAGAUCCCAGAUGAAUGGUUGUCCAAGACAGAACCCGGCUUAUCGGCCGGCUCCCCGC